GCCUGUUGGGAAGACCACUGUUAGAGCUGGGCCUGCGCUGCUGUGGUCAGAUCGGUCUGUUGGAGCUGGGCCUGCGCUGCUGUGGUCAGAUCGGUCUGUUAGAGCUGGGCCUGCGCUGCUGUGGUCAGAUCGGUCUGUUGGAGCUGGGCCUGCGCUGCUGUGGUCAGAUCGGUCUGUUGGAGCUGGGCCUGCGCUGCUGUGGUCAGAUCGGUCUGUUAGAGCUGGGCCUGCGCUGCUGUGGUCAGAUCGGUCUGUUAGAGCUGGGCCUGCGCUGCUGUGGUCAGAUCGGUCUGUUAGAGCUGGGCCUGCGCUGCUGUGGUCAGAUCGGUCUGUUGGAGCUGGGGCUGCGCUGCUGUGGUCAGAUCGGUCUGUUAGAGCUGGGCCUGCGCUGCUGUGGUCAGAUCGGUCUGUUAGAGCUGGGCCUGCGCUGCUGUGGCCAGAUCGGUCUCAGUAGAGAGGAGAGCCAGAAGGUCAUGCAUGUCGUUCCUCUCCUAAAAUAGAGGCCCAAUUACCUUAAAUGAGAAUGAUCAUGAAGCUAAACUAUGUGAGUGAGCGUGUGAUUGAGAGGCGGAGUGAUCAUGAAGCUAAACUAUGUGAGUGAGCGUGUGAUUGAGAGGUAGAGUGAUCAUGAAGCUAAACUAUGUGAGUGAGCGUGUGAUUGAGAGGUAGAGUGAUCAUGAAGCUAAACUAUGUGAGUGAGCGUGUGAUUGAGAGGUAGAGUGAUCAUGAAGCUAAACUAUGUGAUUGAGAGGUAGAGUGAUCAUGAAGCUAAACUAUGUGAGUGAGAGGUAGAGUGAUCAUGAAGCUAAACUAUGUGAGUGAGAGGUAGAGUGAUCAUGAAGCUAAACUAUGUGAUUGAGAG
This is a long non-coding RNA of Oncorhynchus tshawytscha (Chinook salmon), 862 nucleotides long. The record is from Ensembl. Lineage: Eukaryota; Metazoa; Chordata; Actinopteri; Salmoniformes; Salmonidae.